Molecule: long non-coding RNA, 18130 nt
Filed under: Triticum aestivum (bread wheat)
Lineage: Eukaryota; Viridiplantae; Streptophyta; Magnoliopsida; Poales; Poaceae
Description: long non-coding RNA (TAES_LNC012840)
Source: RNAcentral
CUAAACAAAAAUCAUAUUUGCAUUUUGUUUUUACAGUGAGGCCAUGUAGGCCUGAUUGUAGGAGGAGUCCAUCUCAUGGACGACGAGCCUCGUGACGUUGACCCGGGCGCUGGUGGCGUUGUUGAAGAGGUAGACCCCAGCGUUGGCAUAGAUGGCCUCCGUUGGGUACACCCGUGACGUCGCCGUCAACCUCCCGCCCAUUGCAAAGCUCUCAACAAUGGAAUGGUCCACUAGCACCCUCACCGAAAACUCCUCGCCGUCGAGCACGGGGACAAUAUUGCCUACGACCCUCUUGACAAUAUCGUUGGCAUGAGAUGAGCGCGUCUCGUCAUGGCAGAAGUGUGUGCGCAGGCCGCCGUCGAGGCCUCUGGCGACGUAGAAGUAGACGCCGGUCCGCUCCAUGUCGCCACCGUGGCGCCUGGCAUCAGCAAGCACAAGGAGGCCGAAGGGACCGAGUGUGCCACGUCCAGUCGUGCCACCGCUGGUGCUGCAGUUGUAGCCAACAUCUGCCUCCUUGGCAGCGGCGACGUCGACCGGGUCAAGACGAAAUGAGGCCUCGAUGUCGAGCUGGGUGGCACGGUGAAGGUUGAGUGGGAAUACGGAGCCAUGGUCGACGGUAACGCCUCCAAGGUUGGUGGAGUUGGUCCGGAGCGUCUCCACCUCCUCCACCGGCCACUGCAGGAGGUUGCUCCCCGUCUUGGUGUCCAGCACCACCGUGCGAGGGAUCGACUGCAACAGUAACAACUGAAAACAUUACCAACUUGCACUAAUUAACUUUUCAGCAAAGAAACCUCAUGGUACCAAUCAUUGUGGCAGCAUAUAUAGAAAUAGUUAACUGUGGGGUAAGCAGACAAGACAUCCCUUUUUCUUGUUUAAUCCUAGUUUGCUGCAGACAAGACCACAUGGGUGUGAGUUUUGCUUGUAGGACACACACACACACACACAAAACUAGCUAGUUGCAUUGGUGUAUAUUGUACUACUCCAUUAUAUCCAAAUAAAAAGGCAUUAGCAACUGUCGCCAUUCCAUCAUUGUUUCCUUUUCCUUUUAGAAUCCUCCUGGUAUCAUCACUGUGACAGCAAAAGAGAGAGGGAGUACUAGGUAACUCAAGACAAAGACAUCCAUCUUCUUGUCUAAUCCCAACAGAAAUUGUGUAUGCUUAUUAUAACCAGUUAGGUGGUUCUUGGCAUGCCACUAGGCCACAUGGGGUGUGCAGAGUUUGUUUGUUGGACACAGCUACAAUGACAUUGUGCAUUCAAAGUAUCACAACAGUUGCUGGAACUCUUUGCAAGCUGCUAUUUAUCUAUAAUUCCUGCCAAGUUGACAACGAGAUGACAGCAACAUCUCGUUAGCUGCUAUCUAUCUAUAAUUCCUGCCAAGUUACUCCUAUUAUUAUUUGCAUGCCGACGUGUCUGUGAAACCCAACAAAAAGUGCAUGCAACACAUCUAACCAUGCAAGUUUGUGCUAACAAAGCGAUAGUGUAUUUGAAUCAAUUAAUGGAGGUAUUAAUCAAUCACUUGAAGAAGAUGAUGAAAAUGUCAAGUACCUGCAGGGAGGCCCAUCCCUUGGCGACAUCAGCGUGCUCGGAGUCGGUCUCACCGACCCACCCCCACAGCACGCGUCGCUUCUUUGAUGGAUCGUAGAAUGUCUUGGACGCGUAGAACUUUCCCCAAUCGUACCUCAGCCCAAUGCCGACAUCGGCAUCGGAGUCCAGCGGCGUCCAUGUGUUCAUCGCCGCGUCAUACCUUCCCAGCGCGUAGUAGUCGUGUCGGUCAUCAUCGGAGCUCUCCUUCAUCACGUGCAAAACAUCACCACCGCCGUUGUUGGACGCCGCGGCCACUGCCUCCGUCAUGUCGAUGCCCCUCACGCCGCCAACCGGGUACAAGUCGAUGCACUCCCACAUCCCCGUCCCUGGUACACGGUGAAGCAGGCCAGGGACAAGCUCGUAGUCGAUGAAAUCCUUCGUCUUGUACGUCAUCACCAUACCGGCAUGGUGAUCAUCCUUGGAGCCGAUUACGAGUCGCCAUGUGUCGUCGGAGCCAUCAAACCACGCAGUGGUUGGGUCCCUGAAGUCCUUGUCCCCGACGCCGGGUGGCGGGUACAUCACCGGGUUGUUCUCAUACUUGGUCCAGUUGAUGAGCAAAGGGUCGGAGGGGUCGGUGGGGAAAGCGAGGCAUUGGACCUGGACUGAUGCGUUGGUGGAGCCGGUGUAGAGCAUGACGAUGCGGCCGUCGGGGAGGACGGUGGCGGAGCCCGACCAGACGCCAUUGAUGUCGUACCAUUGGUCAGGGGACAUUGCCACCGGGAGGUGGCGCCACCGGAGCAGGUCGCGGGAGGCGGCGUGGCCCCAUGCGAUCUUGUUGCCCCAGAUGGCACCGUCCGGGUUGUACUGGUAGAAGAGGUGGUACCACCCCUUGUAAUACACCGGACCUGCAUUUUCAUUUUGCAAUUUGCAUCAAAGAAUUGUGUUUUACAUGAAUGAUCACCACUUAUGUAACGAUGGAGGAUGGAGGGAAUGUUACUUACCAUUGGGGUCGUUCAUCCAGUUCUUCUCGGGCUGGAAGUGGAAGCCGGUGCGCUGCCACUGGAGCAUGGCAUUGCUCCACGGGAACGCGUUGCCGCCGGCGUCCGCGCGCAGCAUGCCGCCGCGCGCGCCGGCGCCGGACGUCUUCUCCGAGACUCCAGACUCAGGCCCCCGGCUGCUGGCGCUCAUCGGCGCCGUGUCGACCGUCGUCUGGUGGCCAGACAUGACGACGAUGCCACCCGCGGGCAGCUGGCCGGCGAGUCUGACGCCGGCGAGCGCGGCUACCACUAGGAGCACGGCCACCGUCGCCAGCAGCAGGGCGGCACAGAGCAGGCCAGCAGUCCGGCGCACGCGCCCCACCGUGGCGGCGGCCUCGGCAUCCUCCGGCAGCGGCGCGUAGGAGCACGGCAGGGGCGCUGAGCCGCCGUCUCUGGCCUCCAUUGGCACAAAAUUGAAGUGAAACGCAAAGGAGGGUUUACUGGAAGUGAUUGCUCAAUUAGCAAGAAGCUCCCCCGCUAAUCUUAACAAAAGAGGAAGAGAAUGUGUGUGCUUGCCGAGGAGCUUCGCCUUUCCUUUUUAUAGUCUCCAUGCCACCGUUAGCGGCCUAGCUGGUGCGGUGGCGUCCACCGCCGUGGGCCCGGAGUGUCAGUGCUAAUCAUCAUCUGUCCAGGCCAUGUUAUCCAGCUCGAGCCUUGUAGCACUCACUCAUUGUUCCGAGAAACUCUACUGGCAGUACUAGCUAGUGGCUCAGGCUGGAUCAUUAUAUUCUUUACGUAGUUACUUUGUUUGUGUUCAGAACUUCAGAUCCUUCCAUGAUCGAGUUGGAUCAUAGAUUCCGUUGAGAGAGAGAAAGAGAGAGAGAGAACCGAAACCGCUGCUCAUGGGGUCGAUCCAUCAUGGGGCCCCAGAUAACUUAGGGCCUCUUUGAUUCAUAGGAUUGAAAAAACACAGGAAUAGGAAAAACGUAGGAUUAGAAUGGCAUGUUCACUGGAUUCUUAUAGGAUUUGAGUUUGUUUGAUUGUGUCACGGGAAAACCAAAGAAUUUCUUUCAAGAGGUUGGAGUGGAUGUUCGAAUUCCUGUGAAAUGUAGUACAAAUGAAUUCUUAAGAAAAAAUCCUACAAAAUUCAAUCCCACGAAUCAAACGACCAACGUAGGAAAAAUUCCUAAUGAUUCUAAUCCUCCAACGAUCCUAUGAAAAUCCUUUGAAUCAAGUAGACCCUUAGGUUAAUUACCAUAUUGCAUCUCUUGCCUUUGCCGAUCCCUAAAAGGCUAUGGAGGAGUAGAUUUCGGUUUUACAGCUCUAACUGCAACAUAGCCAAACUCCUAAACUGUAUAUGGGAGUAAAAAAAUUACUUCGCCUCCAAGAGGGCGCCUAAAAAUACUCAGCUGUGACUGUGCGGAGUAAUUUUUCUGUCGCGCUACCACCUUCCCCGCCCACCUACAACCGCCCCCCGAGCCUCCACCCCCCUACGACGGCAGCGAGAACCCACCUCCNNNNNNNNNNNNNNNNNNNNNNNNNNNNNNNNNNNNNNNNNNNNNNNNNNNNNNNNNNNNNNNNNNNNNNNNNNNNNNNNNNNNNNNNNNNNNNNNNNNNNNNNNNNNNNNNNNNNNNNNNNNNNNNNNNNNNNNNNNNNNNNNNNNNNNNNNNNNNNNNNNNNNNNNNNNNNNNNNNNNNNNNNNNNNNNNNNNNNNNNNNNNNNNNNNNNNNNNNNNNNNNNNNNNNNNNNNNNNNNNNNNNNNNNNNNNNNNNNNNNNNNNNNNNNNNNNNNNNNNNNNNNNNNNNNNNNNNNNNNNNNNNNNNNNNNNNNNNNNNNNNNNNNNNNNNNNNNNNNNNNNNNNNNNNNNNNNACCCUAACGAGGCCUCUAAGUAGAACACGGCGGCGCCGCAAGCAAACGAGACGGCAGCAAGGUGGUUGGCGCCAACAGCAAGGGAAGCACCACCACCAUCGCAUUCCCAUCCUCGCUGCUGCAGAGAUAGCACCCUCACAUCAACGGCGGCCUCUGCUCGAGCCGGUGGUCUUGAUGGAUCUUUCUUGCCGUAGUGGAAGAGGCCACAACAUUACCAGUGUGGUCACCAUCGGCGCCGCUAGCUGCGGAGACGCAUCGCAGGUGUUCAACAAAAUGUUUAAGCCAUGUAUAAGUUUUACUCCGCUAAAUUUACGGGAUCAGCUAGUACUCCACUAAGCUGUGCUCCACCAUUUACUCCUCUGUUUUUUAGGGAUCGGCUAGAGAUGCUUUUAGGGCAUCUCCAACUCGAGCCCCAAAAUGGACACAUCUUUUGCCCAGACUAGUUUGCCGGAUACUAAUGCGGGAACCGGCCAUCAUUGUCUCCUAAGUGUCCGUCUUUUUUAGAAAGAUCGCAACACUCGAAUUAAUUAUAGAAAAUAACACAAUUUAUUCAAAAUAGCAUGCAAAUUUCCCUAGUCCAACAAUGGUUCAACUGUAAAUAUUACAUCCGACAUAACCGGAUGUUCAACAAGUUUUUUUAGUUUAUUGAUUCCAAAUACGAGAAUACUCGAGUUAGAAUCGGCACAUGAAUGAAUUCAUUGUUUCCAAAUUCAAGCCCUUGAAUUUCAUCCAACAAUGUAUGCGUGUGAAUGAUCUGCCCUCGGUCCUACAGUACAUCAUGACAAGCGUGCAGACUAUAUAACAUGUAGAGCAACAUUAAGCUAUCAGUAAAUUAACCAAUAUGUAGAGCAACAAGAGGCAAUACGUUGGAAAAUGAGGGUGCAAAUGGAAAGUGGCGGGAGGGGGAGGGGCAGAUUGACAGAAAAGUGGAUUGGAGGGGGAUUGAGUGGGUCGAGGCUGUAGCAGUCGACCUACGUGGCCGCGGUUCGGACUCCCGCAACACCCCCCUGCCCCCACCCACCAGCUUGCCUUCGGUUUACGAGAUAACGGACGUCCAGACCAGUCAAUGGACCGACGAGUACCACGUUAAAUGGCAGGAUUACGCCUCUCUAGUUCCAGUUUACUCUUUCCGUUGCCUACACGGCCUCUUCCCUAAACAAAGCCUGCUUUGCUGCAUCACCAAAACCAACAGCAAACAAUUGAAGAUGGAUGGCCACGAUCUUCAAUCAAUGAAUGGCCAACAGCUCAUGAAUGGCCUCUCGUACGUUUCUGCUGCAUGCCACAUGACAUCCAUGUCGUGCUGACUCACCCUUGUCGGGGAGGCAUUCUAGAGGCUGUGCCGGAGCCAGUCAGCAACCAGUUCGGCAUCAAGUUCUAGAGAGAUCGAUCAGUACGUGGCAACUACUCCUAGUGGUCCUCCUCCUGCUGCUGCAUGAUGCUACCAAUAGCAAUUAGUAGUAGCUUCGGCAAAGGUCUCUAUCCUAAUUUCAAUAGAUCUCUGUAUUAUUGGAUUGGGGUAUUACUGUACAAGUGUGAUGUUGUUCAUGACUUCAUAGCACGACAAAAGUGUAUAUACCUACAAUAUAUUACUCUGUUCGUCCCAUAAUACAAGAUCGUUUUUAUACUAGUACUGGUAACGUAGCGACAAAGCUAGAUUCCGUGAAGGAGAAGGCGAGGAGCCCGUGCAUGAAUAAUUCAGCGAACAGAAACCGAUGGCUUCCUCGGAUUCUUCUUCCCUGGGAGAUAGCUGUCAGCACCAUGCAUUAGUUGUUAUAUUGUGUACCUGGCACUCUUCUCCUAUUACUUGCCCAUUUCGUGGCAGCCGCUCUUUCAGACCAAACCAAACCAUGGGAUGGGAUUAGAUGGAUGCCUGUGUGGUUAAGCAUUGCUCGUAGCUUCUUCCAUCUUUACCAGUAAGCAUCGGACAUGACCACUGCAUCCUCCUCCUCAUGUCCCUCCGUCACUGGCAGCCUCUCGUUUGGAUCGCCGGCGUGCACUGACUGCACGCCACAUGCAUCGCCCGUAAGGAGUACCCAGUGACAGUCCACACACAAGUUCUAGAGGGCUCCAUGCAUGCAUGCAUGCAUGCAUCUCUACGAUGCUGUAUGGGAACAGAGGAGCCACUCGAUCGAUCCAUCACCUGCAGCAAGGUAACAUGCAUGCAUGGUGACGGAAGACUGGUCGUGCUUCAGAAAAAAUAAUAGUAAUAUUUAUCUUCUUUUUUGUGAGCAAAAAACCUGAUCUAUUCAUCAACUGCUAAGAUAGCACAAAGAACACUAGAAUUAAAAAUUGCAUUCAGUUCCAUAGACCACCUAACGACGACUAUAAACAUUGGAGCGAGCCGAAGGCGCGCCGUCGUCAUCGCCCCUCCAACAUCUUUUAUCACGUUAUCAAAAGGAAAUCAUUUUUUAUGACACGUUGGGAAGACAACCAACAACAUUAGGUGGGUGAUGAAUUGAUGAUUAACAACAAUAUGGAUAUGAUAGGAUCGGGAGAGGUAUAUGCUGAUCUGGCCACUGUCCUAGCUGAGUAAGGACUUCUUUCCAUGGUUCAUCACUGAAGUGCAAUAAUGCAGAGGAAUGCAGAUAGAGGGAUAUAGGUAGAGUGGUUAGGAGGGAUCCACACCACCAAAUGCAGGCCAAUGCGUGUCACUGUUACUAUUUGCAUCAAGCCCCACAUCAGCAUCAACGGGGACAUAUGCAGUACAAUAAUGAGGUGGUAGGGAUGGGAUGAUCCACUCGGUUGAAUCGAUUCAAGCCACCCAAAAUUCUCGGAACCAACCUCCUGGUCAUGGCACGUGCCAAGUGUUGCUCCAUCCGACGUGUGCCACAUCAGUUGGUACGCGCGUACAAUCCCUUUUCCAUCUGGCUUCCUCUUUAAUGAAUGUCACGUAGGCCGAGUUGUAACCUCGAGGUCGUGAGCUCGACCACCGAGCAUGACCCCCCGAUAGGUCCAUCGACGAUGACAAGGCAACAUGUACAAGUGGCAGCAGUUAGCGCGACUAGCUAUGCUUUCUAUAGAAGCAAUCUAUGUGUGACAGCAAGCGACGUACACGCGUACUUUUACCACAUAACAAGUACUUCCUCUGUUCCAAAACAUUUGAAGUUCUUGAUUUAUCCUAAUUCAAACUUCUCUAGGUUUAACCAAGUUUGUAGAAAAAUAUACCAAUAUCUACAACACCAAAUUAGUUCCAUUACAUUCAUCAUAAAGUAUAUUGUCAGACUACAUAUAGUCGAUGAUGUGGGUAUUAGUAAUUUUUCCUAUAUACUUGGUCAAACUUAAGGAAGUUCGACUUAGGACAAACCUAAAACCUCAAAAAAAAAACCCGGAGGAAGUAGAUCAGUUUAUGGAGCCCGAAGUAGAGAGAUGACUAGGUUCCAAUAAGAUUAAACUACACAUAUAUACACUUGCCAUGCUCAUGUGUACGUAUGUGGUUAAUUGUUGCCUCGGGUUCUGUCUGACCAUCCUUCUCGAGGGUGGCCUCUCGUGACCAACCUACAAGUUACCGAGCUGAAAUAAAGCAAUGGUUGUCGUAGCAAUGAUAUUUUUUCCCAUGGCAUGGAUACAGCAAGACCCACUCAUCAGGUGUUAGCUGAUUCUAAUUCUACGAUGAAAUUCAUACUAUAGUUCCUUCCAUCAGUACUAUUUUUUUUUAUAACAGGAGCCUUAUUGACACAAACAUCGCAUCAAGAUGAUACAAACCAUAUACAGUUCAGACCCGGAUUUGUAAUAAUAGUGAUAAUCACUCCCUCAGUUACAUGGAAUAAUAUAAAUAACUUUUUGUGAAGUUAAGCAUCGUAAAGGUUGACCAAGUCUAUUGAGAAAAAUGUCAACUGCAUUAAUACAAAAUAAAUACAAUUUCAAAACAUGUUUCACCUAUGUAUCUAGUAAUAUUUAUUUGUUAUUGUUUUGUCAGACCAAACCAAACCAUGGGAUGGGAUUAGAUGGAUGUGUGGCUAAUUCAGCAUUGCUCGUAGCGUCCUCCAUCAUCACCUGUAAGCUAUAAGCGUCAGACAUGAGCACUGCAUUAUCUGCAUCGUCCUCCUUAUGUCCAUCGUUCAUCGGUAGCCUCUCGUGUCGAUCACUGGCGUGCACACUAAAUGCGUGCCACAAGCAUCACUCGCGCCUACUCCAGUGACAGUCCACAAGUACACAAGUUCUAGAGGGAUCCAUGCAUUAUGCAUCUGUACGCGGCUGUACCAGACCGACUAGUGUUUUUCUGCAAGAAAAUAAAUAAAUAAUCUUUAGGCUAUUUGUAUCUAAAACUCUAUAUUAUUUAAUGACGCAAGAUAAAACUUUUAUACCAAGUAAACACAAUAAAGUCAUUUUUGUCACCAUAAUUUUUUGCCCACACAAUCAGAAGAAAACCAAAGGCAUUAGGUGGAUGAUGAUCAAUCAUAUGGAGAGGAUAGGAGCAGGAAAUGUAUGUGGUGACCUGACCACUGUCCUAUAACUACCCUAAUUACAAGUCGUUUCCAUGUUGAAUCAGUGAAGUACAAUAAUGCACAGGAAUCCACGCCACCAAAAGACAGGCCCAAUUUGUGUCGCUGUCCUAGCCAUAUACAAUGUCCCAUGUGGUGGUAGGGAUGGAAUGAUCCACUCGACUCGAUUCGAGCCACACACAAAAUUUGGAGCUUGCCAUGCGCCAAGUGUCAAUCCAUCCGAUGUGCCAUCUUAGGUACUACACACAUCCACACGCUUUCUCUCUCUCCACAACUCUUUUGGACGACACAUAGGAGAGAGUUUGUAGCCUCAAGAUCGCUAGCUUGAUGCUUGAAUCCGAUCGACCGGUUGCCCCGUCCAUGGUGACAAGGCAACAUGCAUGCGGUUGGUGUCCUAGCUAAGCUAAUCAAGAGAUCAAUCAUAUACAUUUAGUAGGAUUGAAUCGAACAACACUCUUGGUUGUGGAUCCCUCCAAUUGGCACAAAAUGAAAUGUGACGGAUGAAGUGUGCCACGGAAAUGAAUGCGCUCAAAGGUGUGUUCUCAGCGCUAACGAAGCAUUGUCUCACACAACUAGUAAUGACCCUCUAAAUGUGCAUGCUUUUAGUUGCGUGAUGAAUGAAUGAAUUUGUACAUAAUGUGUGGUUAUAAAAUAAAGAACCCGGUAGGAUUAAAAUUAAACUGCACAUAUAUACACUUAGCACGCUCAUGUGUAUGUGGUUAAUUGUUGCCUUGGGUUCUAUCUGAUCAUCCUUGUCGAGGGUAGCCUCUCGUGACCAACCUACAAGUAACCGAGCUGAAAUAAUGCAAUGGUUGCGUAGCAAUGAUAUUUUUCCCAUGGCAUGGAUACAACAAGAACCACACAUCAGGUGUCAGCUGAUUCUAAUUCUUCGAUUAAAUUCAUACAAUAGUUCCUUCCGUCAGUACUAAUUUUUUUUAUAACAGGUGCCUUAUUGACACAAACAUCGCAUCAAGAUGAUACAAACCACAUACAGUUCAGACCCGGAUUUGUAAUAAUAGUGAUAAUCACUCCCUCGGUUACAUGCAAUAAUAUAUAUAACUUUUUCUGAAGUUAAGCAUCGUAAAGGUUGACCAAGUCUAUUGAGAAAAAUGUCAACCGCAGUAAUACAAAAUAAAUACAAUGUCAAAACAUGUUUCAGCUGUGUAUCUAGUAAAUUUACUUGUUAUUGUUUUGUCAGACCAAACCAAACCAUGGGAUGGGAUUAGAUGGAUGUGUGGCUAAUUCAGCAUUGCUCGUAGCUUCCUCCAUUAUCACCAGUAAGCUGUAAGCAUCGGACAUGAGCACUGCAUUAUCUGCAUCGCCCUCCUCAUGUCCAUCGUUCAUCAGUAGUGUCUCGUGUCGAUCACUGGUGUGCACUGAUGCUUGUGCCUACUCCAGUGACGGUCCACAAGUACACAAGUUCUAGAGGGAUCCAUGCAUGCAUCUGUACGCGGCUGUACCAGACCGACUAGUGUUUUUCUGCAAGAAAAUAAAUAAAUAAUCUUUAGUGCUAUUUGUAUCUAAAACUCUAUCUUAGUUAAUGACACAAGAUAAACACAAUAAAGUCAUUUUUCGUCACCAUAAUUUUUUGCCCACACAAUCAGUAGAAAACCAAAGGCAUUAGGUGGAUGAUGAUCAAUAAUAUUGAGAGGAUAGGAGCAGGAAAUGUAUGUGGUCACCUGACCACUGUCCUAUAGCUACCCUAAUUACAAGUCGUUUCCAUGUUGCAUCAGUGAAGUACAAUAAUGCACAGGAAUCCACGCCACCAAAAGACAGGCCCAAUGUGUGUCACUGUCCUAGCCAUAUACAAUGUCCCAUGUGGUGGUAGGGAUGGAAUGAUCCACUCGACUCGAUUCGAGCCACACACAAAAUUUGGAGCUUGCCAUGCGCCAAGUGUCAAUCCGUCCGAUGUGCUAUGUUAGGUACUACGCACAUCCACACGCUUUCUCUCUCCCAUACUCUUUUGGACGACACAUAGGAGAGAGUUUGUAGCCUCAAGAUCGCUACCUUGAUGCUUGAAUCCGAUCGACCGGUUGCCCCGUCGAUGGUGACAAGGCAACAUGCAAGCGGUCGAUGUCCUAGCUAAGCUAAUCAAGAGAUCAAUCAUAUACAUUUAGUAGGAUUGAAUUGAACAACACUCUUGGUUGUGGAUCCCUCCAAUUGGCGCAAAAUGAAGUGUGACCGAUGAAGUGUGCCACGAAAAUGAAUGCGCUCAAAGGUGUGUUCUCAGCGCUAAUGAAGCAUUGUCUCACACAACUAGUAAUGACCCUCUAAAUGUACAUGCUUUUAGUUGUGUGAUGAAUGAACGAAUUUGUACGUAAUGCGUGGCUAUAAAUUAAAGAACCUGGUAGGAUUAAGAUUAAACUGCACAUACGCUUGGUGUGCAUAUGUGUGCUGGUUGUUGGCUCUUGCUCAUUUCUAACCGUCUCCGUCGAGGAGAAUCUCCUCAGAUCAAACUUGCAAGCAACGAAGCUGCAAUAAUGCAGCCCCCGACGUGGCAAUGAUUUAUCAUAUUUGUCCACAUUUAAUCAGCAGGACAGGCCGGAACCACUCGACCUGGUUCUACUCACGUAACCGGGUUUUGCAAAUUACUUCUGUAUAAAGUAAACUGUUGGAAUUAUUGUGGUUUUUGCAUGUGAACAUCAUUUUAUUCAUAGCAAGUCACAUGAAUUUUAUAUCUAUCUACCAUCCCUGCGCGCGCCCACACACACACAACUAUCUAUCAAUCCAACUGAUUGAUUGUGUAUGUAUGAAUGAGUUUGGCAAGGGCACUACAUUAUUUUUCCUUUCUUGUCUCUCGGCAUGCAGCAACUAACAUACAUGCAUGCGUGCGUGCACCAGGGCAAGAACCGGUAGCAUGCAUAUGGGGCAGAGGAAAGAAGCAUAUUUUUCAUCCUGGUGCCAUGUCAGCAACAGGUGGAAGCGACCGAUCGACGCCGCGGGCGGCAAAUAAUUCCGGCCGUCCAGUGGGGGUGGGUGGUCCGGGACACAUGUAGAGGUAGGAGAAGAUCCAGAAUCUUAUCACCAUCAUCCCCCGUGGCCUCACUGAUUCGCAGUGCCCAUCCUGCUAGCUAGACACACCACAUGCCUUGCCAGCUCAAAUCUUCCACUCCAAUCUUCCUUUCUCUAUCCAUCAAAUAUAAUCCAGAUGUCCUUGAGUGUGCUUAGUACCCCCAAUAAUUCUCUUUUUAUCCAAUAAUCCCCAUUAGUUUGUGCAAGCGGGGUCUAGAUUCUCUGCGAUAAUUGUCCGCCAAUAAUGCACUAUUCUAAACUAAGUAACUGACGGGUAUGUAUGUGGACUUGUGCCGGCGCGAGCUCGCAGGCAAUGCAAUCAUCAGCACAUGCAUGUAGAUCAUACAAAAGAGCAGGAGUACUCUGAAGAGGAAGAGCACAUGCAUGCAUGACAUGGAUAAGUCACUAAGGAGCUAGAGAGAAAAAUAAAAUAUAGUAGCUAGCUCAAUCGGUGCACCUGAAUUCAGAACAACAUAAUGUUAGUUCGUUGCAGGCUAUCAGCCUUGCCGGUCCCCGACAGCAUAUAUUGACGCAACAAACUCUGUAGCUGAACAUGGCACGAAAUGAAAAGGAAAAACAUAAACUUAAACUUAAUUUCUACGAGUUCAUGCAAAUUCUAGUAUCCAUUCAUGGAAUCCAAUCUCCGAGUUUUUGUUUGUUUGUUUUUUGUGAGGAAAACUUCCGAUCUAUUAAGCAACUGUCAAGGUAGUACAAUCUCCGAGUUCUACUCACGCAUGCGUCUUUUUCUUGCUAAUCUGCUGGGUUUUGCAAAAUACUUCCGGUAACAAACCUGUAGACGCCACUGAGGUUUGCAUGCGAAAACUUUUUUUCAGAUUUCUUUUACGGGGAACAGUUUUUUCAGAUGAAGUCACAUGAACUUAGCAUCUAUCUAUCGUCCCUGGAUAAUGAAAAUAAACUAUCCAUCAAUCAAACUGGUUGUGGAUCACUCCACCUGGCAAGUGCCAUGUAUUGUCACUCCAUCAAUCGACAACGACGCCGUAGGCAGAGCAUUGUUCAUUGAACUUUGCACUGUAGAGACGCGAGAUUGACGUUGCAGAACCCCUGAAAUGAUGCUGACAAGGCCUAACAACAUGCAUUGGAUCGAUGACAGUUACUAGUAACAUGUACACAAGAUUCAUUCGUUCAAAAAAGAAAAACACAAGAAAACCUUGACCAAUAGACAAUAGUGAUUAUAAAGAGAGAUGACGAGAGAUCCGCACCACCAAAAAUGCAGGCCGAUGUGAGUCACUCUCCUAGUUAGCUACAUACAAUCCAUAGAUGUCCUUUUGCAUCAAAUUAGCACCAUUGCAGUUCUUGCAGUCUUGCAGACCCAGCAACAUCAACAUGACAAUAUUACACGUCGUAAGGAUGGGAUGAUCGCCUCCACUCCGACUGAAGCCGCCUCCUGAUGUGUGCCAACUCCUGGCCAAGGUAGGUGUCAAUUGUCGCUCCACCCUGAUGUGUGCCAGUCACUCACUUCACGCAUCAACGUGCUUUUUUCCUCCUCCUUGCACUUUCCUAGACGACACGUUGGUGAGAGUUGUAACCUUAAGGUUGCGAGUCCGACUAAUUGACUAAGUGAUGAUGGCAAACCAAAGAGACAGAAGACGACAAUCAGCACUACUAGCAAAGAUUCGGCGAUGAAGUUGGCCAUAGAAAUAAGAAAUAAUCCACCUAGUUUUUUUAAUUGAAUAAUCCACUUUGUUGACCCUAUUGUAACACCGCCACCUACAAGCGUGACUCCUCUAACUCGGUUUUUUCGCACCCGACUUAUUACCCGAUACUACAUGGUUGUUUGUUUUGAGUGUAAUUUUUUUUCUGCUCUUCCUUAUUCAGUUCAAACCAGAGUAGCCAGGUUCGUGCUACGAUGGUGCGUCCCCUAACCCAAGUCGAUCGACAAAGAUCGAGGGUCGGCAAUGACACAGGGUUGGCCGGGGUCAUUGGAUGGGUCGUGAACCCAAAUCGAUGGGGAUGAUUCCAUAUCAGCAAAGGAAUGAUUACAAGAACACCUAUGGUGUGACUCAUGGAGGUCUACCUGGCAUUGUUGUCAAGAUUUCUGAGUCUACACGUCUGCCGUCUGCUCAUCAAGUUGUCGCAUGACUCUCUCAUGCCACUGCUGAGACUGGGUACGCUAAGUAGAAGGUCUUAAGACUUCAGUGGAGGAGGCAGAUAAACAACAACCCAGCUGCGUUCCUCAAACCAUGGGCUCCAACACACCGUGCUUGAGAUUAGAAGCCAUUUUUUGUUGGAAAGGUUUGUGGGUGAAGAGGUUUGGGGACUAAUGGUUCGUGGGGGAAAAGUAAUAGGAAAUGAGAAGAUAUGCCGUCGUAGUGGGUUAUGAUAGAUGCGAAAUUUCCGGUGUGGUUUUUCCCUCUACGUGGCAUUAGGAAAGAAGCACGGCAAAAUCUUACUAUUUUGGAGAAAAACAACAAAACCUUUCCCUUCAUGCCAUGUAUCGUACCGGGUAAUCGACCCAAAAAUAUCAGGAAUGCGAUCCACGUCCAAAUAUUACGUCUCGGAGAAGUAUACCCAGCAUCGCACCUCGUCCCGGAAGGGUAGCGACCCACGACCCCAUUCCUUGUUCCGCUACCCGGGCAACCAAGAUUCCUGGCAACUAUGGUAAAACAUGGAAAUACAAUUUUUGACAAAAGAAAAUGAGAAUGUAGAUUCCAUGGAAUGAUAAAACAGGCCCCACAAAUAAUUCAGCAAACCGAAACCGAUGGCAUAUUUGUCGGACUCUCUUGCACCAUCCGCAUGGGCACCCACCUACCUUACUCUCCUAUGACCUUGCUUAUCUGUAUCAGCAAACCAAACCACGCAAGAUGGAUCAGGGAUGGACAGAUGUGUGGCCUGGUUAAGCUAGCUAGCAAUGCCUGGUGGUGGUGGCACUGGCAGGUACCGUUUGGGUCACACCUUGUUGGAUGUGGAUUUGUAACGGACAUGACGUUGCAUCCUCCUCGUGUACUCCUGUCCAUUUUGCCAUGUAUGCAAUGCACGCCGCAUGCACCGCUCGCAUGGAGUGUUGGGUACUCUAGUUACAAUCAGCCAGGUGCUGACUCACCAUUGUCGGUGGAAAAAUAGAGGGACGGAUCCAUCUAGACGUACCUACCGGAGGCAAUCAGUGGCAGCUAGCUAGCCAGGCCAAGCAACAAUUUCUUUCUGGAGUACAGUAGGUACUGUAGUGCCUUCAGCUCCACAUAAUCACAAGAAAACAAACAUGAAUGGCUGGAUGAUCAAAUGACCCGAUCCGUCGUGGAUAAGAGGAAUUAGGAGCUAGAACUCCAGAGAGCUGGCUUUGCGUGGUCACUGUUCUAGCUAUGCUAAUUAAGCUUGAAGGGUCUUGCUCUCCGUUGACAUUGUUCUAGUUGCAGAUUCCACAUCAUCGCUAGUACAAUAAUGCAGGUCCACGUGUCGAGCGGAGCCGAUCCUAGCUACUCGCUGCGACGCUAGUAUAGUGUCAAAAAUACUACUCCCUCUGUUCUAAAAUAAAUGUCUCAAUUUUGUACUAACUUUAGUAUAAAAUUAUACUAAACUUAAGACACUUAUUUUAAGAUGGAGAGGGAGUAUUACUAUAUUAUUGGACAGAGGGAUUAGUAAGUAUUCUCUUUGUCCUAAAAUAAGUGCCUCAACUUUAGUACGAUAGAGUCAAACUACCCUCGUGGCUGCAAACCUCAUCAAGGUUCAGCUCGAUCCAUUAAUUUUGUUGGCUGGUAGGUGCUAACACGUUAGCAAUUCCUUUUUAACUCUUACUAACCAUGCCACGAGGCAGGGUGUAACAGGUGGCGUUAAUUGAUGGCAGCUAAUAGCUGGCUAGUCGUUGUAGUAACUUGCAAGCUUGCCAUGCAUGAACUGCAACCAACAACAAAAUAAACAUCACAGUCAAAUACUAUUCAAUAACUAGCAAUAAUGGAUAUAGGAAGAGACCGGGGGACUACACGACACGCAAAGAGGGGUCUAGCGUGCAUGUGUGUGUGAAAGAGUGUCGUUGUCCAAGCUACGAUGUCUUUCUCCAUCCAGCGCUAUGGUUUCGUGGAGAUUCAUCGGCGGCAUCAGGCAGGUACAAUAAUGUGGGAGGAGGUAGGGACCAUGAAUCUAUAGUCAUGCAAAUUCUCACACCCACCCUUGGAAUCCAAACUUCUGGCCGUGGCUCUCUCCACUUGUCGCUCCAUAUGGUCCAUGCCAUGUCGGAUGUCCUUUCCCUUUUUGCGGUGGGCACACCAACAUUGUGUGCUUGCGCGACAUGUGGCAACAUUUAUUAGAAAUAGCAAUUAUUUGGAAGGCACGUGAUGAGGCUAUCGGCCUCAGUUACAUACGACUGCAGCGAUAUUGGCCACAAAAUGAAAACACACGCGCAUUGUAACCUUGAAGUUCCGAGCUUGACGCUGACAAGGCGGCGUCUAACAAGUGGCAGCACAUUAUUGCAGUUGGUAAUAAUCUCAAGUAACUACAAUGGCACCUUCACGACAUUUAAGCUAUCCAACACUAGAAUGGUUGAUCUGGCCAACUCUACUAUUUGGCGGUCACCUUAGCUUUUGACCCCACCCAUGCUCAUUGUGUGAUGUUGGGCACUUAUAUUACCCUCCACACAUCAAACCUUAUUGAUGCUUGGAUCAAUAUGUAUGUGGUGUUCUAUUAGCAAGAUAACUCGAGAAGGUUAAGAAUAAACUAUACAUACACUUGCAUGCACACAUGGGUGUGUGUGUUGUUACGUUGUUCACUCUCGGGUUGUGUCUAUUUGUCUUUGUCAAUGACCACUUCUCUACACCAAACUUGCAAGCAACCAAUGCAAGCUGCAAUAAUGCAUGGUUCGACGUGGCAAUCAUUCAGUUUGUUUGUGGACAACAUGAGCAAGGCAGGAACCACACAAACCGGUUGUGCUCACGUGUCUUUUUUCUUUUGCUGAUUUAAUUAGAUUUCACAAACUAUGUACUUCCGAUAAACUAAAAUGUAGUAGACACUACAAAGGUUUGCAUGUGAACAACCAGUUGUAUACCCCUCGCCAAAAGGCAACAAAAUAAGAACUAUCUAUCAGUCAAACUAAAUUCAUCGUGAAUGUUUAUUUCGCAUGAUUUAUCUAGAAUAAUUAAUUCACAUUGGGCGUUACAAUAUUUUUCCUUUCUAGAACGGUGAGCACACAAGAACAAAUAAUGAAUCCGAUGGUUCUCUCGACACGAACCAACAUGCAUGCAUGAAGGCAAGAACCCAUGGCGCAUGUUAGCAUCGGCAGAGGCGAUAGAUCAAUGCCGCUGGUGGCCAAUAAUUCCAGCCGUCAGGUGAGUGGUGGAGAAGAUCCAGAAUCUUAUCAUCAGCAUCCUUGAUGGCCUCACGUUCUCACUGAUUUGCAUUCCACAUGGCAUUGCCAGCUCAAAUCUUCCACUCCAAUCUUCUUUUCUCCAUCCAUCUAAUAUAAUGCAGAUCCCUGGGGUUGGGCUUGGAAUCAUUGACACCUGACCAUGACUAUACGUAGUACCUCCAAUAAUUCCAAUUUGUUUGCACAGUAAUUCCCGUUUGUUUGUUUACCCAAUCAUUCCCAUUUGAGCAUGCAGGAAAUGUGUGUGAAUGUAAUAAUUUGUUCACCGAAACACCGAUAAUGCACUAUUAGUUAACAGACGAGCUGACCUUGUGCCCAGCCUCAAGUGCAAGCUAGCUGGCUGGCAAAAGCAAUCAUGUACAGACUGAUCAUUUUUUCUUUCGAAACGAGAAUACAGAUUGAUCGUCGAUCAUCGCAUGAAACAACAAGACCGCAUGCAUGCAGCAAUAAUUCAGUAGGGAGCUAGAGUUGAGACAAAAUAAAAUCUCCAGUAGGGAGCUAGAGUCAAGCCUAAAUAUAUUUAUUAUUUUCUUUAAAAAAAUGAAUACAAAUUUUGUUUAAAUUUUUUGGACGGUAUAACACAGAGAUUUCUGGUAUAUUUUUCGGAAACUGUUGUUCCCGGUGGCCAUUGGUAAAAAACAGAAACGGCAAAAAAAGACCUGGUGGAGAUUGAGACCACAUGCAGAAAAGUUGCAUUGAAGAAAUGAGAGAGACCUUCCUUGAUCUGAAAACAUAAGUACAAUGUGCUAUCUAUCACAUUUUUUCUAAACAAAAAUAAUAUUUGAAUUUUCAUUUUACAGUGAGGCCAUGUAGGCCUGGUUGUAGGAGGAGUCCAUCUCGUGGACGACGAGGCUCGUGGUGGUGACCCGUGCACCGGUGGCGUUGUUGAAGAGGUAUACGCCUGCGUUCGCGUAGAUGGCCUCCGUCGGGUACACCCGCGAUGUCGCGGUCAACCUCCCGCCCAUCGCAAAGCUCUCAACGAUGGAAUGAUCC